RNAcentral lists this unclassified non-coding RNA (320 nucleotides) under plant metagenome. Its description in RNAcentral is "partial contains 5.8S ribosomal RNA, internal transcribed spacer 2, and large subunit ribosomal RNA". The stretch from base 1 to 105 matches the Rfam family "5.8S ribosomal RNA", at positions 50 to 154 of the family's 154-position model. The record is from RNAcentral.
GAAAUGCGAUAAGUAAUGUGAAUUGCAGAAUUCAGUGAAUCAUCGAAUCUUUGAACGCACAUUGCGCCCGCCAGUAUUCUGGCGGGCAUGCCUGUUCGAGCGUCAUUACAACCCUCAGGCCCCCGGGCCUGGCGUUGGGGAUCGGCGGAAGCCCCCUGCUGGCACAACGCCGUCCCCCAAAUACAGUGGCGGUCCCGCCGCAGCUUCCAUUGCGUAGUAGCUAACACCUCGCAACUGGAGAGCGGCGCGGCCACGCCGUAAAACACCCAACUUCUGAAUGUUGACCUCGAAUCAGGUAGGAAUACCCGCUGAACUUAAGC